CGAGGGGUAUAAGUCUUCGGAUUUAGAGACCGGCGCACGGGUGCGUAACGCGUAUGCAAUCUACCUUUUACAGAGGGAUAGCCCAGAGAAAUUUGGAUUAAUACCUCAUAGUAUUAUGAAAUGGCAUCAUUUUAUAAUUAAAGUCACAACGGUAAAAGAUGAGCAUGCGUCCCAUUAGCUAGUUGGUAAGGUAACGGCUUACCAAGGCUACGAUGGGUAGGGGUCCUGAGAGGGAGAUCCCCCACACUGGUACUGAGACACGGACCAGACUCCUACGGGAGGCAGCAGUGAGGAAUAUUGGACAAUGGGCGCAAGCCUGAUCCAGCCAUGCCGCGUGCAGGAUGACGGUCCUAUGGAUUGUAAACUGCUUUUAUACGAGAAGAAACACUGCUUCGUGAAGCAGCUUGACGGUAUCGUAAGAAUAAGGAUCGGCUAACUCCGUGCCAGCAGCCGCGGUAAUACGGAGGAUCCAAGCGUUAUCCGGAAUCAUUGGGUUUAAAGGGUCCGUAGGCGGUUUGGUAAGUCAGUGGUGAAAGCCCAUCGCUCAACGGUGGAACGGCCAUUGAUACUGCCAGACUUGAAUUAUUAGGAAGUAACUAGAAUAUGUAGUGUAGCGGUGAAAUGCUUAGAGAUUACAUGGAAUACCAAUUGCGAAGGCAGGUUACUACUAAUGGAUUGACGCUGAUGGACGAAAGCGUGGGUAGCUAACAGGAUUAGAUACCCUGGUAGUCCACGCCGUANACGAUGGAUACUAGCUGUUGGAAGCAAUUUCAGUGGCUAAGCGAAAGUG
Molecule: ribosomal RNA, 790 nt
Filed under: uncultured bacterium
Lineage: Bacteria
Description: bacterial SSU rRNA
Rfam family: Bacterial small subunit ribosomal RNA
Source: RNAcentral